Molecule: long non-coding RNA, 1089 nt
Filed under: Equus caballus (horse)
Lineage: Eukaryota; Metazoa; Chordata; Mammalia; Perissodactyla; Equidae
Description: lncRNA (ENSECAG00000058534.1)
Source: RNAcentral
CUUGAACAGACGGAAAGAGCAGAAAGGAAUACACAAAGGACAGGAAGGGAGCGGCUCCAAGGAGGUGUAAUUGGUGAAGAAACCGCCCCACCGGGGGCGUUGGUGCUCAGCCCUGUCUCCUGGGCCAGUGUGAAGGCCAGUAAGUGGCAUUUGACAUGGGUGAGCACUUCCCAAUGCUUCCUUCCAGGAUGUCCCUGAUGGGGCCACAGAACCUGGCGGGUGCUAUCUAGUGUACUUUGGACGGGGCCAAUGCUAACAGCCCACAUUGGCCGAGAGUUGCGCACAUCGCGUGUGGGCGUUUAUGGAUAUUGCCUUGUUUACUGCAGCUGCCGCGGAGAGCAUCCAAGCAGCCAAGCUCACGUGUUUAUGACCCACCCAAGUCCACAGAGCCGUAUGUGUCCACAGCAAGAGGAGUUCCAGAUGAGAAAAGCUCAAAAGGACGCGUGACUGAGAGCAGGUGUGGACGACACCUCCAGGAACCCCCAAGGUGGACCCGGUAUGAUCACAGAGCCCAUAAAAGUGGAAGGAGAAGGCCGGCAGUGUGUCCCAGAGAUGCGCUGUAAGAAAGACUCCCUGGCCCUUGCUGGCUUUCAGUGGAGGAAGGGGCCGCAAGCCAAGGAUCGCAGCAUGGAAGGGUGGGGGCAAAGUGCGUGACUCGCCCUACCUGUGGGGCUUAGAACACACUUUGGGGGACACAAGUUCACACCAUUUCAAUACUCGGCUCCUCUUAGGUGGCAGUAGUGCACACACUUCUGUUCUCGUGGGUCUGAGCUGACUGUGGGUGAGGACAGCUCCCUCCAUGCACACCUGGCAUGGGCCAUGUACAACCUGCCAUAUGCCUUCUCCUCUGGGGAGCUUUCAGCACCCUGGACAGUGCUCGCCAGGCCAGGGACCUGUUUCCAAGGUGCUUAGACAGAGGCGUUCUGGGUCUUCAGAGCGGUUCCUAGCAGCCUGUAGCCAAGGAUGUCCAUGGUCUCCAUGUGGCAAGUCAGAAGCAAGUGUGCGUGUCCAGGGCCCAGUGCCUUAGACUUCACCCCAGCUCCCUGGUGCUAUCAGGGGAGGGAGGAGGGAAGGAAGGACUGAAGAGUG